GUCCUCCCCAAGGCCAUUCACUCACUCUGUCCCUGAGCUCAUGGCCAGGCUGACUGGGGAGGGUGUUUAAGGCACAGACAGGCCCUGAAGUCCCACCCAUUCUACUGCUGGCUCAGCUCACAUUACCUCCUAUUUGGACUUGUUUGCUGCUCACAGUCAAGUUCUCCAAGACCAGGAUUGCUGGCUCUCAGUUUCUAGAACAACCACAGUGGAAGAUGCUGAUUCAUACUUGCUGGCCUGGAACCGAAACCAGCUGUCUGUCCCUUGUCUGCUGUAAGGAAGAUGCUGUGCUAAUCUCAGGCUCUUCUGCUGUUACAAGAUCUCCUCUCCCCAUAACGAGCUGGAAACCAGAAGUGAAGUUACAUCUGGUGCAUUUUCCAAGAGGAGCCUUGUGCUGUGUGUGGCUGCUGUAUUCUACAUAAAGAGCUGCUUUUCCAACAACCAUGUGGAGACUGAAUAAGGGUUUGAAGGAUAAUCAAGGCUGAGGCCAUGUUCUCCAUCUGCUGAAGCUUUUGGUCACUCAGCCUUCUAGAGGCAGUUACUGUUAAGCCAAGAUCUCAAGCUUCCAGGUCCCAUUCUUGGGUCCUUCCUUAGGUUCAUUGCUUGGAGUUGGUUUUCUCAAUAAAGGAACUUGAACAUUAUUUAAGUUUUGGGCCUUCCAAAAUCUAAAUCAGCCUCACUUUCAGACAGAAAGUUUUCUUUUUGUCACUUGCCUUCUUCCAGCCACAGAUAAAACGGGAGGCGAACAGGUUGUUAUGUGUUACUGCUAGGUCGCUUGGUUGGAGUUCUAUAAACAUAGUACUGAGAAGAGUUCUGAAGGACUGCUGCUAUUCAGAUUGAUUAAUAAUGUCUGCCUUGGUUGAAGGCAGAGGUAGGCCAUCUUAGUAGUCAAGUAUUUAUGUGCUGGACAGUCAUAGAUGGUGUUCUAGUUUGCUUUCUAUUGCUUUGAACACAAUCAUCAAAGCAACUUGGAAGUGUUAUUUCGUUUACAGAUCUGGAUCACAGUUAGUCAUUGAAAAAAGUCAGAGCAAGA
This 1033-nucleotide long non-coding RNA is filed under the name Cricetulus griseus (Chinese hamster). RNAcentral's name for it is "lncRNA (ENSCGRG00000024879.1)". The record is from RNAcentral. Lineage: Eukaryota; Metazoa; Chordata; Mammalia; Rodentia; Cricetidae.